CAGUAGCCGCGGUAACACGGAGGGUGCAAGCGUUAAUCGGAAUUACUGGGCGUAAAGCGCACGCAGGCGGUUUGUUAAGUCAGAUGUGAAAUCCCCGAGCUUAACUUGGGAACUGCAUUUGAAACUGGCAAGCUAGAGUCUUGUAGAGGGGGGUAGAAUUCCAGGUGUAGCGGUGAAAUGCGUAGAGAUCUGGAGGAAUACCGGUGGCGAAGGCGGCCCCCUGGACAAAGACUGACGCUCAGGUGCGAAAGCGUGGGGAGCAAACAGGAUUAGAUACCCGAGUAGUCCCUGUCUCUUAUAC
Molecule: ribosomal RNA, 301 nt
Filed under: uncultured bacterium
Lineage: Bacteria
Description: partial 16S ribosomal RNA
Rfam family: Bacterial small subunit ribosomal RNA
Source: RNAcentral